AGUUGUGUGAUAAGCACAAAGCGAAUUAUUGUUUUGCCUUUUACUAAAGAACACCAUGCUUGUCCCUAAAAACAGCAUAUAUUAAUUUUUGAAAGGAGGUUUUUUACAAAGGAGCCU
Small nuclear RNA from Zingiber officinale, 117 nucleotides. RefSeq annotates it as U5 spliceosomal RNA. The transcript has a single exon. Lineage: Eukaryota; Viridiplantae; Streptophyta; Magnoliopsida; Zingiberales; Zingiberaceae. The record is from RefSeq and is a predicted model, not a curated record.